GGAUCAGUAUGUUGGUCAUGCCUUGGUAUGUACUGGUGUCACUGAUUCCUCCCUUCUGAAGAACUGUCAUGCCAUUCACUUGGUGUGGCGGGGAAUCAGGACUGUUACUUUGAAAAAAUUAGAGUGUUUAAAACAGGCUUAUGCUUGAAUACAUUAGCAUGGAAUAACGGAAUAGGACUU
Molecule: ribosomal RNA, 180 nt
Filed under: uncultured Glomeromycotina
Lineage: Eukaryota; Fungi; Glomeromycota
Description: partial small subunit ribosomal RNA
Source: RNAcentral